CCUACGGGUGGCAGCAGUGGUGAAUAUUGGACAAUGGGCGAAAGCCUGAUCCAGCCAUGCCGCGUGUGUGAAGAAGGCCUUCGGGUUGUAAAGCACUUUCAGUGGGGAAGAAAGCCUUGGGGCUAAUACCCUCGAGGAAGGACAUCACCCACAGAAGAAGCACCGGCUAACUCCGUGCCAGCAGCCGCGGUAAUACGGAGGGUGCGAGCGUUAAUCGGAAUUACUGGGCGUAAAGCGCGCGUAGGCGGUCUGAUAAGCCGGUUGUGAAAGCCCCGGGCUCAACCUGGGAACGGCAUCCGGAACUGUCAGGCUAGAGUGCAGGAGAGGAAGGUAGAAUUCCCGGUGUAGCGGUGAAAUGCGUAGAGAUCGGGAGGAAUACCAGUGGCGAAGGCGGCCUUCUGGACUGACACUGACGCUGAGGUGCGAAAGCGUGGGUAGCAAACAGGAUUAGAUACCCCUGUAGUC
RNAcentral lists this ribosomal RNA (465 nucleotides) under Vreelandella stevensii. Its description in RNAcentral is "partial 16S ribosomal RNA". It matches the Rfam family "Bacterial small subunit ribosomal RNA", at positions 338 to 795 of the family's 1533-position model. Lineage: Bacteria; Pseudomonadati; Pseudomonadota; Gammaproteobacteria; Oceanospirillales; Halomonadaceae. The record is from RNAcentral.